AGAUGAUUAAAUUAAAUGUUCCACAUGUUUCCUUAAGAAGGAGUUUACAGUGACAAUAAGAUUUCUGAACCAUGACAAACCUUCUAUAGAAGAAGUUUCCAACAGUUUAGAUUUGGCCAUGUUAUUCUGAAGCAAGUUAAGUAGGUUUUGCCAUUGGGAUGCAAGGCCGUGGGGUUCACUUUGAACUUGACAUGCCACCUUGUGGAAAUUGGAGGCAAUAAAAAAUGUGGCCAUUGAAUACUACUCUAUAAUAAUUAUAUGAUACAGGCUAACAUUUAUUAAGGGCUUACCAUGUGCUAUGCACUAUGUGGAAUACCUUUUAAGUGUUUUUUUUCAUUUAUUUUUCAAAACAAUCUUAUGAGGUAGGUACUAUUGUUGUCCCAUUUUAAAGACGAGGAAUAUGUGGCUUAGAAAGGUAAUUGCCUGAAGUCCAAUGCAUACAAGGCAAAACAGAUGUGAGUAGAAGGGUUAGAGGGUUACCUCAUUGGGGCUUUUUUUUUUUCUGCAGAAUUCUCUUGUGUGAUCACUACUGUGUUCAAGUUCUCACCUUCUUCAAACUCACUCAUGCACAGAGACAGAGUCUCCUGAUG
This 590-nucleotide long non-coding RNA is filed under the name Homo sapiens (human). Its description in RNAcentral is "HSALNT0074064". Lineage: Eukaryota; Metazoa; Chordata; Mammalia; Primates; Hominidae. The record is from RNAcentral.